Non-coding RNA from Cherax quadricarinatus, 189 nucleotides. NCBI's taxonomy places the organism in Eukaryota, Metazoa, Arthropoda, Malacostraca, Decapoda, Parastacidae. The record is from RefSeq and is a predicted model, not a curated record.
AACACAUUGUAGCAUUUUUUCCGCCAAUUAAAAUCUGUUCUUAUCAGCGUGAUAUCUGAUAUGAUUCCAUGUGGGAUUCUUCGAUAUUAAACUGAUUUUUGGUUCAUGGCGAAAGUUGCUAGGGGCUUGCUCCACCUUUGCCGCGGAUCAACCCGGUAUUGCAUUAUCUCCGGGAUUGGUCCACUCCCC